UCUCCUUGGUAAUUGCUAUUGCACUGACAGUAUUGAGUCCGGGAUCCUCAUUAUCCUCCCUGACAGAAAGCCGCUUUAUCUUUGAAAGGAAUAACAGAACUUCAGGAUGAAUGCUUGAAAGUUGCUGCUUCACAGCUUUCAUCUUGUCAGGCUUCAGAGGCAAGAUUAUUACCGUAGUAGGAAGGGAGGAACCGGGACCAUAUAUUUGCUUUAUAUCAUCAAGAGAUGGACUCUCCUCAACCCAUUCGGGAACUAUGAAUCCAAGCUUGCACUGUGGACAAGGCUUUUCAUUGAAGCGUAUCUGAUAGCCAUUACUGAAU
RNAcentral lists this unclassified non-coding RNA (320 nucleotides) under Hevea brasiliensis (rubber tree). The record is from RNAcentral. Lineage: Eukaryota; Viridiplantae; Streptophyta; Magnoliopsida; Malpighiales; Euphorbiaceae.